This 440-nucleotide ribosomal RNA is filed under the name uncultured bacterium. Its description in RNAcentral is "partial 16S ribosomal RNA". It matches the Rfam family "Bacterial small subunit ribosomal RNA", at positions 338 to 795 of the family's 1533-position model. The record is from RNAcentral.
CCUACGGGAGGCAGCAGUGGGGAAUAUUGCACAAUGGGGGAAACCCUGAUGCAGCGACGCCGCGUGAGUGAAGAAGUAAUUCGUUAUGUAAAGCUCUAUCCGCAGGGAAGAAAAUGACGGUACCUGCGUACGAAGCCCCGGCUACCUACGUGCCAGCAGCCGCGGUGAUGCGUAGGGGGACAGCGUUAUCCGGAUGUACUGGGUGUAAAGGGAGCGUAGUCGGGAGUGCAAGUCUGGAGGGAACGGGGGGGGCUCAACCACCGGACUGCGCGGGAAACUGGACGGCUGGAGUGCAGGAGAGGUAAGUGGAAUUCCUAGUGUAGCGGUGAAAUGCGUAGAUAUUAGGAGGAACACCAGUGGCGAAGGCGGCUUACUGGACUGUAACUGACGUUGAGGCUCGAAAGCGUGGGGAGCAAACAGGAUUAGAUACCCUGGUAGUC